AGGGGCAGCGAGAAGAAAGCUUGCUUUCUUUGUCGGCGACCGGCGCACGGGUGAGUAACGCGUAUCCAACCUUCCCCGCAGUAGGGGAUAGCCCGGCGAAAGUCGGAUUAAUACCCUAUGUUCUCCUUUGCAGGCAUCUAACGAGGAGCAAAGAUUUAUCGCUGUGGGAUGGGGAUGCGUCUGAUUAGCUUGAUGGCGGGGUAACGGCCCACCAUGGCAACGAUCAGUAGGGGUUCUGAGAGGAAGGUCCCCCACACUGGUACUGAGACACGGACCAGACUCCUACGGGAGGCAGCAGUGAGGAAUAUUGGUCAAUGGGCGUAAGCCUGAACCAGCCAAGUAGCGUGCAGGACGACUGCCCUAUGGGUUGUAAACUGCUUUUAUGCGGGAAUAAAGUCGCCUACGUGUAGGCGUUUGCAUGUACCGCAUGAAUAAGGACCGGCUAAUUCCGUGCCAGCAGCCGCGGUAAUACGGAAGGUCCGGGCGUUAUCCGGAUUUAUUGGGUUUAAAGGGAGCGCAGGCCGGAUGUUAAGCGUGACGUGAAAUGUAGCCGCUCAACGGCUGAGUUGCGUCGCGAACUGGCAUUCUUGAGUGAGUACGACGCGGACGGAAUUCGUGGUGUAGCGGUGAAAUG
RNAcentral lists this ribosomal RNA (634 nucleotides) under uncultured rumen bacterium. Its description in RNAcentral is "bacterial SSU rRNA". It matches the Rfam family "Bacterial small subunit ribosomal RNA", at positions 65 to 688 of the family's 1533-position model. The record is from RNAcentral.